RNAcentral lists this ribosomal RNA (499 nucleotides) under uncultured bacterium. Its description in RNAcentral is "partial 16S ribosomal RNA". It matches the Rfam family "Bacterial small subunit ribosomal RNA", at positions 28 to 507 of the family's 1533-position model. The record is from RNAcentral.
GACGAACGCUGGCGGCGUGCUUAACACAUGCAAGUCGAACGGGCCCGCCCCUGUUUUUGGGGGUGGGUUGAGUGGCGAACGGGUGAGUAUCACGUGAGUAACCUGCCCCCUGCUCCUGGAUAACUGCUUGAAAGGGCGGCUAAUACGGGGUGUGCCGGCUGGUCCGCAUGGGCCUGGUCGGGAUAGUUUCAUCUUCGGGUGUUUCGGUGGGUGAUGGGCUCGCGGCCUAUCAGCUUGUUGGUGGGGUGAUGGCCCACCAAGGCGGUGGCGGGUGGGCGGACUGAGAGGGUGGGCGGCCACACUGGGACUGAGACACGGGCCAGACUCCUGCGGGAGGAAGCGGUGGGGGGUAUUGCACAAUGGGCGGAAGCCUGAUGCAGCGACGGCGGGUGAGGGAUGGAGGCCUUCGGGUUGUGAACCUCUUUCUCCGGUGGUGAAGGCCCUGUCCGUUGCGGCGGGGUUGACGGUAGCCGGGUAUGAAGCGCCGGCUAACUACGUG